Molecule: ribosomal RNA, 776 nt
Filed under: uncultured Neocallimastigales
Lineage: Eukaryota; Fungi; Neocallimastigomycota; Neocallimastigomycetes; Neocallimastigales
Description: partial large subunit ribosomal RNA
Rfam family: Eukaryotic large subunit ribosomal RNA
Source: RNAcentral
UGUGUAUCAGUACAUAGCAUAUCAAUAAGCGGAGGAAAAGAAACUAACAAGGAUUCCCUAGUAACGGCGAGUGAAGCGGGAAGAGCUCAAAUUUGAAAUCUUAAAGGUUCUACCUUGACGAAUUGUAGUUUAUAGAAGUGUUUUCUGUUAGUAGAGUUCGGCAAAAGUUCUUUGGAAUAGGACAUCAUAGAGGGUGAGAAUCCCGUAUUUGACCGUUACUUUCCAGCUGUGUGAUACACUUUCAAAGAGUCGGAUUGUUUGGGAAUGCAGUCCAAAAUGGGUGGUAAAUUUCAUCUAAAGCUAAAUAUUGGCGAGAGACCGAUAGCGAACAAGUACCGUGAGGGAAAGAUGAAAAGAACUUUGAAAAGAGAGUUAAACAGUACGUGAAAUUGUCAAAAGGGAAGCGUUUGACACCAGUGUUGUUUAGUUGAAAAUCAAUUCAAUAAUUUUUGAUUUUGAGUAGUAUUGACUUCAUCAGCUUGCUGCUUUCUUUUCGGAAAUUAUUGAAUGCACUUUUCAGUUAACAAGUCAACAUCAAUUUCUUUUGUUGUAAAAGGGUAAGAGGAAGGUGGCUUACGCUUCGGCGUAAGUGUUUAUAGCCUUUUACCUCUGCAAUCGGAGAGAUUGAGGUCUGCAGCGUAGAUCCUUCGGGGUUAGAUACACUUGUGCUAAGCUAUAGCCUUGUAUAGACAACUUGUUGACUAUGCUCAGUCAUGUAGCUUACUCGCUUGUGCUAUUUUACCUACGCUUAGGAUGUUGACAGCAGUAUAGACUGU